AUACGUAGGGGGCGAGCGUUGUCCGAAUUUACUGGGCGUAAAGCGCGCGUAGGCGGACCUUUAAGUCGGGUGUGAAAUCUCGGGGCUCAACUCCGAAACUGCACUUGAAACUGGGGGUCUUGAGGUAUGGAGAGGGAAGUGGAAUUCCUGGUGUAGCGGUGAAAUGCGUAGAUAUCAGGAGGAACACCCGUGGCGAAGGCGGCUUCCUGGCCAUAUCCUGACGCUGAGGUGCGAAAGCCAGGGUAGCGAACGGGAUUAGAUACCCUGGUAGUCCUGGCCGUAAACGAUGGAUACUAGGUGUUAGAGGUAUCGACCCCUCUAGUGCCGCAGCUAACGCAAUAAGUAUCCCGCCUGGGGAGUACGGCCGCAAGGUUGAA
Molecule: ribosomal RNA, 377 nt
Filed under: uncultured bacterium
Lineage: Bacteria
Description: bacterial SSU rRNA
Rfam family: Bacterial small subunit ribosomal RNA
Source: RNAcentral